UACAGAGGUCUCAAGCGUUGUUCGGAUUCAUUGGGCGUAAAGGGUGCGUAGGCGGCGCGGUAAGUCGGGUGUGAAAUCUCGGAGCUUAACUCCGAAACUGCAUUCGAUACUGCCGUGCUUGAGGACUGGAGAGGAGACUGGAAUUUACGGUGUAGCGGUGAAAUGCGUAGAUAUCGUAAGGAAGACCAGUGGCGAAGGCAGGUCUCUGGACAGUUACUGACGCUGAGGCACGAAGGCCAGGGGAGCAAACGGG
RNAcentral lists this ribosomal RNA (253 nucleotides) under uncultured bacterium. Its description in RNAcentral is "partial 16S ribosomal RNA". It matches the Rfam family "Bacterial small subunit ribosomal RNA", at positions 524 to 776 of the family's 1533-position model. The record is from RNAcentral.